Halichondria panicea is the source of this 420-nucleotide long non-coding RNA. RefSeq lists it as uncharacterized. The record is from RefSeq and is a predicted model, not a curated record. The transcript has 3 exons. NCBI's taxonomy places the organism in Eukaryota, Metazoa, Porifera, Demospongiae, Suberitida, Halichondriidae.
CAGACACUAGCUGGGUAAAUGUCCCCUACAUUGCUAAAGAUCCCUCACCGACAGCUGGCUUUGGGCGCUCAACUGUCCAUUGCUGAGUGUUUUAAAAUAGAGUAUCGUAUGAGCCAAGCAUGUAUGACGGGGAAGGACUUCUACAAGGGUGUGAGAGCGGUGCUAGUAGACAGGGACAAUAGCCCUCAGUGGACUCCAGCCAUUUUACAAGACGUGGCUGAUGAGUUCGUAGAUCAAUACUUUGCUAGAUUACCAGAGGACAAAGAAUUGCAACUCUAGCAUCAUGUUCGAUGAGUGCGAAUAAGUUAUUGUGUGUGUGAUGAUAUAAUUAUACCUCUGUUGCUUUAGCAGAGUUUAUUUCAGGUAAGGGGCAGAGGGGAAAUUUCACCCCCCCCCUUAGAUGAUCAAAAAUGUUACCAA